RNAcentral lists this unclassified non-coding RNA (684 nucleotides) under uncultured Prochlorococcus sp. RNAcentral describes it as "partial may contain 16S ribosomal RNA, 16S-23S ribosomal RNA intergenic spacer, and 23S ribosomal RNA". The stretch from base 1 to 96 matches the Rfam family "Bacterial small subunit ribosomal RNA", at positions 1438 to 1533 of the family's 1533-position model. The record is from RNAcentral. Lineage: Bacteria; Bacillati; Cyanobacteriota; Cyanophyceae; Synechococcales; Prochlorococcaceae.
CCCUUGUGGAGGAGGACGCCGAAGGUGGGGCUAAUGACUGGGGUGAAGUCGUAACAAGGUAGCCGUACCGGAAGGUGCGGCUGGAUCACCUCCUAACAGGGAGACAACAAAAUGUUUAAUAUUAUUAUUUUGUCACCUUAGGUCGAUCGGUAUCUCACGUUUUUAAUUUUAUUAAGAAUUUCAUUUCCUAAGUUUUUCUAGGUCACACCCAUUAUUUUUCCUGGGCCAUUAGCUCAGGUGGUUAGAGCGCACCCCUGAUAAGGGUGAGGUCCCUGGUUCAAGUCCAGGAUGGCCCAUAUCUCUAUGUUGUGGGGGUAUAGCUCAGUUGGUAGAGCGCCUGCUUUGCAAGCAGGAUGUCAGCGGUUCGAGUCCGCUUACCUCCACUGAUUACCACCUCUUCCAUAACCGGUAGAAAGGAAAUGUUUUGAGUUGUGAUCAAAUCCUGAAAGAAUCUAGCUUCCUAAUGAAAUCAUUAAGAUGCUGGACUCAUUGAAUUAACUUCAUUGUUUUCAGAGAACCUUGACAACUGCAUAGAUUAUUUUUAAAGACAAUAAGCAUCUUUAAUGAUGCAGAUUUAUUAUUUGUGCAAAUGCAUUAAUAACAAUUCUAUUAAGCUGAUGCUUCAAUUUUUGAAGUUAUUGGUCAAGCUACAAAGGGCUCACGGAGGAUACCUAGGCACACAGA